AGCAAUUUCAAAGCAAAUAUUGAUGAUAUCUUAAAAGCUAAACACCAGUUUCACAAGUCUCACUAACCUUUUUUGCUGCUUAGUUUGUGAGAUUCAGAUAUGGGCACACUGGGUGUGAUAUAACUAUCUUAUUGCUAAUGUCACCUUCUUUGAUAACUUUUUGAUGAAUAAAUAUAUUGGUUGUCUUUAUUUUUUGUGUAUUCACUGUACUAUAUUGAACAAAAUGAUUAUGUGGCCCACGUUCAUCAUUUUCUCAGUUAUCUGGCCCGCAGUGAAAAAAGUUUGGUGAUUCCUGGUAUAGAACAGAUGUCUGGCAU
Molecule: long non-coding RNA, 317 nt
Organism: Octopus sinensis (East Asian common octopus)
Lineage: Eukaryota; Metazoa; Mollusca; Cephalopoda; Octopoda; Octopodidae
Exons: 3
Source: RefSeq, a predicted model, not a curated record